CAGGGGUCCGCAGUGCGCCGCCAGAACUUGGAAGGCGUUCUGCCAGGCUUUGGGGGCGACGGCCAGCCUUUUCUCAGGGUACCACCCGCAGACAAAUGGCCAGACAGAACGGGCUAACCAGGAUCUGGGAGCAGCACUACGCUGUGUGACGGCGAAACACCCGGCGUCCUGGUCCACACACCUCCCCUGGAUCGAGAGACCGACGUGGCAGUGGCUACCGUCAAGGAACAUCUUCGACGCGCUCGUCGGGUUUGGCGCGAGGCCCGGGCAGCCCUCAUCCGGACCUCUGCCCGGAACCAACGUAUCGCCGACAGUCAGCGUACACCGGCUCCAGAUUACCGUCGAGGGCAAAGGGUUUGUUGAGAUGCUACGGUCCGUCCUCUGAAAGUGGCGUCCAUGGAGAUCAUAGCCAGAGCAUUAAGGCGAUCCUGUGUAUGUUCCUCAGUAAGGAAUGGCGCCUGUCAAUACCAGCCUGAAGAGAAC
Molecule: long non-coding RNA, 483 nt
Organism: Gasterosteus aculeatus aculeatus (three-spined stickleback)
Lineage: Eukaryota; Metazoa; Chordata; Actinopteri; Perciformes; Gasterosteidae
Source: Ensembl